Molecule: long non-coding RNA, 251 nt
Filed under: Lathyrus oleraceus (garden pea)
Lineage: Eukaryota; Viridiplantae; Streptophyta; Magnoliopsida; Fabales; Fabaceae
Description: Pisum sativum (pea) long non-coding RNA (PSAT_LNC029327)
Source: RNAcentral
AUUUCCCAAAAUCAGAUCCAAAUUCAUCACAUUCUCUCAAAUUCUCAAGAACCACAUAACACUUCAAUUGACCAAAACUCUUUGAAUUCUUGAUCAAUUCUCGAAUUUCUUGUUGUGUUGAUCUUGCAUCAUCAUCUUCUACAUCUGUUUUGCAUCUCAUCGUCAAUUGCACCACCAAUCGUGACUGUUCAAGUUUGCAACAUCAAUGGCAUUUGGAGAAUUCGAGCACUAGGAGCAACAUCAAUUGGAUU